GGGGAAUAUUGGGCAAUGGAGGCAACUCUGACCCAGCCAUGCCGCGUGGGUGACGAAGGUCUUCGGAUUGUAAAGCCCUUUCGGCGGGGACGAUGAUGACGGUACCCGCAGAAGAAGCCCCGGCUAACUUCGUGCCAGCAGCCGCGGUAAUACGAAGGGGGCUAGCGUUGUUCGGAAUUACUGGGCGUAAAGGGCGUGUAGGCGGCCCGCUAAGUCAGGUGUGAAAGGCCUGGGCUCAACCCAGGAAAUGCGCCUGAGACUGACGGGCUUGAAUCCGGGAGAGGAUGGUGGAACUCCCAGUGUAGAGGUGAAAUUCGUAGAUAUUGGGAAGAACACCCGUGGCGAAGGCGGCCAUCUGGACCGGUAUUGACGCUAAGGCGCGACAGCGUGGGGAGCAAAC
RNAcentral lists this ribosomal RNA (400 nucleotides) under uncultured bacterium. RNAcentral's name for it is "bacterial SSU rRNA". It matches the Rfam family "Bacterial small subunit ribosomal RNA", at positions 356 to 773 of the family's 1533-position model. The record is from RNAcentral.